Molecule: ribosomal RNA, 463 nt
Filed under: uncultured bacterium
Lineage: Bacteria
Description: bacterial SSU rRNA
Rfam family: Bacterial small subunit ribosomal RNA
Source: RNAcentral
CCUACGGGUUGCAGCAGUGGGGAAUAUUGCGCAAUGGGCGCAAGCCUGAUGCAGCCAUGCCGCGUGUGCGAAGAAGGCCUUCGGGUUGUAAAGCACUUUCAGCGGGGAGGAAGGCGCCAAGGUUAAUAACCUUGGCGAUUGACGUUACCCGCAGAAGAAGCACCGGCUAACUCCGUGCCAGCAGCCGCGGUAAUACGGAGGGUUCAAGCGUUAAUCGGAAUUACUGGGCGUAAAGCGCACGCAGGCGGUCUGUCAAGUCGGAUGUGAAAUCCCCGGGCUCAACCUGGGAACUGCAUUCGAAACUGGCGGGCUAGAGUCUUGUAGAGGGGGGUAGAAUUCCAGGUGUAGCGGUGAAAUGCGUAGAGAUCUGGAGGAAUACCGGUGGCGAAGGCGGCCCCCUGGACAAAGACUGACGCUCAGGUGCGAAAGCGUGGGGAGCAAACAGGAUUAGAUACCCCCGUAG